GGAAGGGUGGCUGAGUGGUCAAAAGCACCCGGUUGCUAACCGGGCGGGGUUUACACCCCGCGCGGGUUCAAAUCCCGCCCCUUCCGCCA
Molecule: transfer RNA, 89 nt
Filed under: Gammaproteobacteria bacterium
Lineage: Bacteria; Pseudomonadati; Pseudomonadota; Gammaproteobacteria
Also listed under: 1 other name
Description: tRNA-Ser
Rfam family: tRNA
About the family: Transfer RNA (tRNA) molecules are approximately 80 nucleotides in length.
Source: RNAcentral